UACAGAGGUCCCAAGCGUUGUUCGGAUUCACUGGGCGUAAAGGGUGCGUAGGCGGUCGGGUAAGUCUGAUGUGAAAUCUUCAAGCUCAACUUGGAAACUGCGUCCGAUACUAUUCGGCUAGAGGAAUGGAGGGGAGACUGGAAUACUUGGUGUAGCAGUGAAAUGCGUAGAUAUCAAGUGGAACGCCAGUGGCGAAGGCGAGUCUCUGGACAUUUCCUGACGCUGAGGCACGAAAGCCAGGGGAGCAAACGGG
This 253-nucleotide ribosomal RNA is filed under the name uncultured bacterium. Its description in RNAcentral is "partial 16S ribosomal RNA". It matches the Rfam family "Bacterial small subunit ribosomal RNA", at positions 524 to 776 of the family's 1533-position model. The record is from RNAcentral.